Molecule: ribosomal RNA, 304 nt
Filed under: uncultured bacterium
Lineage: Bacteria
Description: partial 16S ribosomal RNA
Rfam family: Bacterial small subunit ribosomal RNA
Source: RNAcentral
CAGCAGCAGCCGCGGGAAUACGGAGGGUGCAAGCGUUAAUCGGAAUUACUGGGCGUAAAGCGCACGCAGGCGGUCUGUCAAGUCAGAUGUGAAAUCCCCGGGCUUAACCUGGGAACUGCAUUUGAAACUGGCAGGCUAGAGUCUUGUAGAGGGGGGUAGAAUUCCAGGUGUAGCGGUGAAAUGCGUAGAGAUCUGGAGGAAUACCGGUGGCGAAGGCGGCCCCCUGGACAAAGACUGGCGCUCAGGUGCGAAAGCGUGGGGAGCAAACAGGAUUAGAUACCCCAGUAGUCCCUGUCUCUUAUAC